RNAcentral lists this ribosomal RNA (301 nucleotides) under uncultured bacterium. Its description in RNAcentral is "partial 16S ribosomal RNA". It matches the Rfam family "Bacterial small subunit ribosomal RNA", at positions 509 to 807 of the family's 1533-position model. The record is from RNAcentral.
CAGUAGCCGCGGUAAUACGAAGGGUGCAAGCGUUAAUCGGAAUUACUGGUCGUAAAGCGUGCGUAGGUGGUGGUUUAAGUCCGUUGUGAAAGCCCUGGGCUCAACCUGGGAAUUGCAGUGGAUACUGGGUCACUAGAGUGUGGUAGAGGAUAGUGGAAUUUCCGGUGUAGCAGUGAAAUGCGUAGAGAUCGGAAGGAACAUCUGUGGCGAAGGCGACUAUCUGGGCCAACACUGACACUGAGGCACGAAAGCGUGGGGAGCAAACAGGAUUAGAUACCCGUGUAGUCCCUGUCUCUUAUAC